GCCGCCACCCCGCACCCCGCCCGCCACGCCCUCGAGCCGUGCUGCCACCAAGCAGCGGCCACACCUGUGAUUGGAUUACGCGCCUUCGCCAGUGUGACCAGUGUGACUGUGACACGAGACAGCGUGUGACAAGUGUGACGCUGUUUGUUGGUGCGCAUGGCUCGGACUGACGGCGGAGGCCGCAGCGGCCGCCAGCCCCUUGGCCAGCCCCGCUUGGGGCGCUAGUGCUCGCUAGUGCACGCUAGUGCAGCCAGUGCGAUACAGUGCAGUGAUUGUGUGCCUUUGGAUACCUCGCCACCCCUGCACCGCCGCCCUCUGGAUUACUACUGCAAGGAUACUGCAAGGAUACUCCCCCCCUCUUGACGGUCACACCUUCCUCCAGUUUGAGCGAUGGGGUCGCUCGAGCGCCAACACCCCGCCUGACGGCCUGCCCGAAGGCCUGACGCUCCUCAUGGCGUCCUCGUGGGCUGAGCGGCCCUGUCCCCUAUCACCACAAGCACCACACACACAGUGACCAUGGGUGGGUUUAACCCCUUCCCCUUGCGGAGAGCAUUGGGUCCUUCGUCGUACCUCCUCCAACGGUGGCUACCUCAACCAGGUGGUUCCCCGCUGGUCCCAGCGAUGCAGCCUGCGCAGCCUGCGCCCUGCUCCCUCUGGCGCGGCGAGCCGUGUGCGCCUAGCCUCGGAUGACGGCGUCCGGCCACGCUCUAGGCCUUGAUGGACUGCAGUGAGACCGCCGUGCUGAUAGGCAACCGCUGCGGGCUGUGGAGCGGCCUGCCCGCACUGCCCCGCAC
Thrips palmi is the source of this 794-nucleotide long non-coding RNA. RefSeq lists it as uncharacterized. The record is from RefSeq and is a predicted model, not a curated record. The transcript has 3 exons. NCBI's taxonomy places the organism in Eukaryota, Metazoa, Arthropoda, Insecta, Thysanoptera, Thripidae.